This 465-nucleotide ribosomal RNA is filed under the name uncultured bacterium. RNAcentral's name for it is "partial 16S ribosomal RNA". It matches the Rfam family "Bacterial small subunit ribosomal RNA", at positions 32 to 507 of the family's 1533-position model. The record is from RNAcentral.
AAUCAACGCUGGCGGCGUGCCUCAGACGUGCAAGUCGAACGAUUAAACUUCCCUUCGGGGAAGAUAUAAAGUGGCGCACGGGUGAGUAACACGUAGGUAAUGUACCUUUGGGUGGGGAAUAACUUAGGGAAACUUAAGCUAAUACCGCAUAAUGCAGCGGCUCCUUCGGGAGACAGUUGUUAAAGAUUUAUCGCCUAAAGAGCAGCCUGCGGCAGAUUAGCUAGUUGGUAAGGUAACGGCUUACCAAGGCUACGAUCUGUAUCCGACCUGAGAGGGUGGUCGGACACACUGACACUGAAUAACGGGUCAGACUCCUACGGGAGGCAGCAGUCGGGAAUUUUGGGCAAUGGGCGAAAGCCUGACCCAGCAACGCCGCGUGAAGGAUGAAGUCUUUCGGGAUGUAAACUUCGUAAGAAUAGGAAGAAUAAAUGACGGUACUAUUUGUAAGGUCCGGCUAACUACGUG